This 253-nucleotide ribosomal RNA is filed under the name uncultured bacterium. RNAcentral's name for it is "partial 16S ribosomal RNA". It matches the Rfam family "Bacterial small subunit ribosomal RNA", at positions 524 to 776 of the family's 1533-position model. The record is from RNAcentral.
UACAGAGGGUGCAAGCGUUGUUCGGAAUUAUUGGGCGUAAAGGGCGCGUAGGCGGUGCGGUAAGUCUGUAGUGAAAUCUCUGGGCUCAACUCAGAGUCUGCUGCAGAAACUGCCGUGCUUGAGUGUGGGAGAGGUGAGUGGAAUUCCCGGUGUAGCGGUGAAAUGCGUAGAUAUCGAGAGGAACACCUGUGGCGAAAGCGGCUCACUGGACCACAACUGACGCUGAGGCGCGAAAGCUAGGGGAGCAAACAGG